RNAcentral lists this transfer RNA (73 nucleotides) under Ailuropoda melanoleuca (giant panda). It matches the Rfam family "tRNA". Rfam says of the family: Transfer RNA (tRNA) molecules are approximately 80 nucleotides in length. Their secondary structure includes four short double-helical elements and three loops (D, anti-codon, and T loops). Lineage: Eukaryota; Metazoa; Chordata; Mammalia; Carnivora; Ursidae. The record is from Rfam by way of RNAcentral.
ACCUGGCUGGCUCAGUCAGUGGAGAGUGUGAUUUUUGAUCUCAGGGUCAUGAGCUCAAGUCCCAUGUUGGGUG